UAGGUGAACCUGCGGAGGGAUCAUUACACAAUAAAAUAUGAAGGCCUGGCUUCGCGGCCGGCUGAAAUAUUUUUUCACCCAUGUCUUUUGCGCACUUGUUGUUUCCUGGGCGGGUUCGCCCGCCACCAGGACCAAACCAUAAACCUUUUUCUUAUGCAGUUUCCAUCAGCGUCAGUAAAAACAAUGUAAUAAUUACAACUUUCAACAACGGAUCUCUUGGUUCUGGCAUCGAUGAAGAACGCAGCGAAAUGCGAUACGUAGUGUGAAUUGCAGAAUUCAGUGAAUCAUCGAAUCUUUGAACGCACAUUGCGCCCUUUGGUAUUCCAAAGGGCAUGCCUGUUCGAGCGUCAUUUGUACCUUCAAGCUUUGCUUGGUGUUGGGCGUUUUUGUCUCCCUCUUUCUGGGAGACUCGCCUUAAAACGAUUGGCAGCCGGCCUACUGGUUUCGGAGCGCAGCACAUUUUUUGCGCUUUGUAUCAGGAGAAAAGGACGGUACUCCAUCAAGACUUUUACAAUUUUAACUUUUGACCUCGGAUCAGGUAGGGAUACCCGCUGAACUUAAGCAUAUCAAAAAGGGGGGGAGAA
Molecule: ribosomal RNA, 584 nt
Filed under: Bipolaris sorokiniana
Lineage: Eukaryota; Fungi; Ascomycota; Dothideomycetes; Pleosporales; Pleosporaceae
Description: eukaryotic LSU rRNA
Rfam family: 5.8S ribosomal RNA (bases 197-350)
Source: RNAcentral